GACGUAGGGUGCGAGCGUUGUCCGGAUUUACUGGGCGUAAAGCGCGCGUAGGCGGCUCGUUAAGUGUGAAGUGAAAUCCCGGGGCUCAACUCCGGAACCGCUUCGCAUACUGGCGGGCUCGAGGGAUGCAGAGGUCUGUGGAAUUCCCGGUGUAACGGUGAAAUGCGUAGAUAUCAAGUGGAACACCAGUGGCGAAGGCGAGUCCCUGGACGACUCCUGACACUGAGGCACGAAAGCUAGGGGAGCAAACAGG
RNAcentral lists this ribosomal RNA (253 nucleotides) under uncultured bacterium. RNAcentral describes it as "partial 16S ribosomal RNA". It matches the Rfam family "Bacterial small subunit ribosomal RNA", at positions 524 to 776 of the family's 1533-position model. The record is from RNAcentral.